This 253-nucleotide ribosomal RNA is filed under the name uncultured bacterium. RNAcentral describes it as "partial 16S ribosomal RNA". It matches the Rfam family "Bacterial small subunit ribosomal RNA", at positions 524 to 776 of the family's 1533-position model. The record is from RNAcentral.
UACGUAGGGGGCAAGCGUUGUCCGGAAUCAUUGGGCGUAAAGCGCGUGUAGGCGGCUCGGUAAGUCUGCUGUGAAAGUCCAGGGCUCAACCCUGGGAUGCCGGUGGAUACUGUCGAGCUCGAGUCCGGAAGAGGCGAGUGGAAUUCCUGGUGUAGCGGUGAAAUGCGCAGAUAUCAGGAAGAACACCCGUGGCGAAGGCGGUUCUCUGGGACGGUACUGACGCUGAGACGCGAAAGCGUGGGGAGCGAACAGG